This 41-nucleotide non-coding RNA is filed under the name unclassified sequences. RNAcentral's name for it is "Ocean-VII RNA". It matches the Rfam family "Ocean-VII RNA". From Rfam's summary of the family: marine metagenomes. Environment (Puerto Rico trench) The record is from Rfam by way of RNAcentral.
UGAGUCUCAGGGAUCAGAGAGUAGGCACAAGCUACUCAGAC